AGCCUCAUUUUGCGGGUCCUUUGGUGCCGGACUUCGAAUCCGUAGGCUGCGCGUUCGAGUCGCGCCGGGGGCGCCA
This 76-nucleotide transfer RNA is filed under the name Anaerolineae bacterium. RNAcentral's name for it is "tRNA-Arg". Lineage: Bacteria; Bacillati; Chloroflexota; Anaerolineae. The record is from RNAcentral.